RNAcentral lists this ribosomal RNA (253 nucleotides) under uncultured bacterium. RNAcentral describes it as "partial 16S ribosomal RNA". It matches the Rfam family "Bacterial small subunit ribosomal RNA", at positions 524 to 776 of the family's 1533-position model. The record is from RNAcentral.
GACGUAGGGCGCGAGCGUUGUCCGGAUUUAUUGGGCGUAAAGAGCUCGUAGGCGGCUUGUCGCGUCGAAUGUGAAAUCUCAGGGCUCAACUCUGACAUUGCAUUCGAUACGGGCAGGCUAGAGUUCGGUAGGGGAGACUGGAAUUCCUGGUGUAGCGGUGAAAUGCGCAGAUAUCAGGAGGAACACCGGUGGCGAAGGCGGGUCUCUGGGCCGAUAUUGACGCUGAGGAGCGAAAGCGUGGGGAGCAAACAGG